Athene cunicularia (burrowing owl) is the source of this 384-nucleotide long non-coding RNA. RefSeq lists it as uncharacterized. NCBI's taxonomy places the organism in Eukaryota, Metazoa, Chordata, Aves, Strigiformes, Strigidae. The record is from RefSeq and is a predicted model, not a curated record. The transcript has 3 exons.
UCUUGGCGUGCACAUCCUUUCAGAUGAAAUUAGACCAAAAGCUGUGCUACAGCAGCAUGAUGAUGGAUUACCUGUUCAUUGAACCAGCCUACAACUACUGUCAGUGGAAAGUGACCUGUUGUGUUUGUGGAAGCUCUGGAAUCCCGCAGGAGAAGGAUCACUCAGCACCGUGGCAGGCUGCCAAGUACAACUUGUACUGAAACACAGUGGUGUUGAGAAGUUGCAUUAUCAACUGAAACGCACUGUCGGCUUAGCAGGAGGACACAGCUAGGAGCUGAUACUACACAGCUAAGUGAUACAGUAGACUGCUGAAACCAUCACCAAAAUUUCAGUCUAAAAUUUUGAGAGAAAAGGGCAAGUGCAAACCGAACUAUCUUCCAAGCC